RNAcentral lists this ribosomal RNA (253 nucleotides) under uncultured bacterium. RNAcentral describes it as "partial 16S ribosomal RNA". It matches the Rfam family "Bacterial small subunit ribosomal RNA", at positions 524 to 776 of the family's 1533-position model. The record is from RNAcentral.
UACAGAGGGUGCGAGCGUUGUUCGGAAUUACUGGGCGUAAAGGGCGCGCAGGCGGUCUUGAAAGUCAGGCGUGAAAGCCCCGGGCUUAACCUGGGAAUUGCGCUUGAUACUCUGAGACUGGAGUACGGGAGAGGAGAGUGGAAUUCCCAGUGUAGAGGUGAAAUUCGUAGAUAUUGGGAAGAACACCAGUGGCGAAGGCGGCUCUCUGGACCGUAACUGACGCUGAGGCGCGAAAGCGUGGGGAGCAAACAGG